RNAcentral lists this ribosomal RNA (568 nucleotides) under uncultured bacterium. RNAcentral describes it as "partial 16S ribosomal RNA". It matches the Rfam family "Bacterial small subunit ribosomal RNA", at positions 355 to 914 of the family's 1533-position model. The record is from RNAcentral.
UGGGGAAUUUUGGACAAUGGGGGGAAACCCUGAUCCAGCCAUCCCGCGUGUGCGAUGAAGGCCUUCGGGUUGUAAAGCACUUUUGGCAGGAAAGAAACGUCGCGGGUUUAAUACCCCGCGAAACUGACGGUACCUGCAGAAUAAGCACCGGCUAACUACGUGCCAGCAGCCGCGGUAAUACGUAGGGUGCAAGCGUUAAUCGGAAUUACUGGGCGUAAAGCGUGCGCAGGCGGUUCGGAAAGAAAGAUGUGAAAUCCCAGAGCUUAACUUUGGAACUGCAUUUUUAACUACCGGGCUAGAGUGUGUCAGAGGGAGGUGGAAUUCCGCGUGUAGCAGUGAAAUGCGUAGAUAUGCGGAGGAACACCGAUGGCGAAGGCAGCCUCCUGGGAUAACACUGACGCUCAUGCACGAAAGCGUGGGGAGCAAACAGGAUUAGAUACCCUGGUAGUCCACGCCCUAAACGAUGUCAACUAGCUGUUGGGGCCUUCGGGCCUUGGUAGCGCAGCUAACGCGUGAAGUUGACCGCCUGGGGAGUACGGUCGCAAGAUUAAAACUCAAAGGAAUUGAC